CAGAAAUCAACCUUUCUGUGUCCGUGUCCCAAUAUUCCUCUUCAUUGUGGACAAACUCUUUAUUGAUGGACAGCUAUUCCGAGACAGCUCCAUUACACCGUGGCUGUACUAAAUUCUACAGGGACUUCAGGUUACAAAAAAAAAGAAGGUCCGGGCUAAAGUGGUCAUCCAGCCUGGAGGAGUGGUGCCAAGGCUGCGCACCAGAGCUUCAGUGCUCUCCCACAGCCCGGUCCAUCCGGUGCCUCCUCCACACACCAGGCCUCCUGUAGGUCUCCCCAGCCUGGUGGGUCCUGUGGCAGCCCCACGCACCAGGCUGUCUCUCCGUCUCCUCCUUCCAGGUUCUCUCUCCAGGCCAGAGCCACCCGUCAGUCCGGAGUUGCCAGAGCCGCCUGUCUGUCCUGAGCUGCCAGAGCCGUCCGUCUGUCCUGAUCUCCCAGAUCCGCCCGUCUGUCAGGAGCUGCCAGAGCCGCCUGUCUGUCAGGAGCUGCCAGAGCCGCCCGUCAGUCAGGAGCUGACAGAGGUGUCCGUCAGUCAGGAGCUGCCAGAGCCACCCGUCAGUCAGGAGCUGCCAGAGCCGCCCGUCAGUCAGGAGCUGACAGAGCCGUCCGUCAGUCAGGAGCUGCCAGAGCCGCCCGUCAGUCAGGAGCUGCCGGAGCCGCCCUUCACUACGGCGCUGCCGGAGUCGCCCUUCACUACGGUGCUGCCAGAGUCUCAUGCCUGGCGUCUCCCGUCUAUUCGGGCCCGCUGUUAGGGUUCCCAGUACGAGGUCGGCGGAGAGGGUCGCCGCUCCAAAGGCGCCGCUUAAGAGGGCCAAGACUAUGGUGGAGUGGGGUCCACGUCCCGCGCCAGAGCCGCCACCGCGGACAGACUCCCACCCAGACCCUCCCCUAUAGGUUCAGGUUUUGCGGCCGGAGUCCGCACCUUUUGGGGGGGAUGUUUUUUCCGUUUUUAUGUCUUUGUGUUAGUUUGGUCAGGGCGUGAGUUGGGGUGGGUAGUCUAUGUUCUUUUUUCUAUGUUGUAUUUCUGUGUUUGGCCUGGUAUGGUUCUCAAUCAGAGGCAGCUGUCGAUCGUUGUCUCUGAUUGAGAAUCAUACUUAGAUAGCCUGUUUUCCCCAUGUUUGUUGUGGGUGAUUAUUUUCCCUGUCAGUGUUUGCUCCAUACGGGACUGUGUCGGUUUCCAUUUAUUCUCUUAUUCUUUUGUUUUCUGUGUUAGUUAUAUUUCAUUAAAAUUAUAUUAUGGACA
Oncorhynchus tshawytscha (Chinook salmon) is the source of this 1242-nucleotide long non-coding RNA. NCBI's taxonomy places the organism in Eukaryota, Metazoa, Chordata, Actinopteri, Salmoniformes, Salmonidae. The record is from Ensembl.